Marmota monax (woodchuck) is the source of this 2775-nucleotide long non-coding RNA. RefSeq lists it as uncharacterized. NCBI's taxonomy places the organism in Eukaryota, Metazoa, Chordata, Mammalia, Rodentia, Sciuridae. The record is from RefSeq and is a predicted model, not a curated record. The transcript has 4 exons.
AACAGCCAAGAAAUGGAAUCAAUGUCAAUAUCUGUGGACAGAAAAACAGGGAUAUGGAAUGGGUGUCUACCUAUAAAUACAUUCUGCUAAGGUUGGAGAUACCAUUUUGGAAAGAUAUUCUUACAUAUCAAGGCUUACAUCAAAAUGGAGAGAUGGAUGUGCAAAUAAGACACAAGGUCUGGAAAGAAUUAUCCUACAGAGAGAUUCAAAAAAGUAAAGAAACAACAGCAAGAAUUUGAAAUUGAUCCAAACUUGGAAUUCUAUAUAAGCCUUGGAUUCUAGAGAUGGAAAUCAUCUAUUUAAGGGGAGCAGCCCGAUUAUUCUCCAAAACAUCUCAAGGAAAUUGUCUCUAAGGAAGAACCACUGCACUUCAGAAGAGUCUCAAGGGUGUCUUUCAGUUCACUCAUUUUAUUUUCUGAGCACAGCACCUCUGUUGACUUUUCUUUCCAAAUCCUUUGCGCUGUUUCUAAGGGGCAAAGCUUGAGGCUCCCUCCUGGGCCUGAGGAUGUGAGCUCAACUUGGUGGCUUUUCACCUCUUGAGGAGCUGCAAGAGACAAGAAGCUAUGAAUAAUUACAUCCCUGAUGGUCUAAUUUUGAGGAAAUGUCUCAGAAAUUCAAUCCUAGGUUAGUCAGGAAUGUUGUGGAGUGAGCUCACUGUUAAUGGAACACUUUCCAAGCCAGAGACUUCCAGUACUUUGAUAUAGGGGUCAGGAUCAGCAUUAUAAUAAAAAUAUUUUUGAUAAAUACAUAGAAAGGAAGUUUCUUAAGGCCAUGAAUGAUUAAAAAAUACUGAGAAAACAAUCAGUAUUUUAGAAAUAUUGAAGGUAUAAAUUUACUUGAAAGAUUUAAAGCUUACAAUAAAAUUGUGGGGAGUUAGAGGUAGAGGACUUAAGGAACUAUAUUAAAAUGUUUUAUAAACUAUAGAUAUUUGCCUAUUAAUUUACAUAACAGGCAUGAUGAUAGACAUCAGGGAUAUAUAUAUUUUUUUAAAUGAGCCUUUGUUUCAUUCUUCAGGAUCAUUUUCCAAUGUGUACAGAUGUAAGGUAGAGAGGCAAGAUUGAAUAGAAGGACUGUAAUGAAGAAUGAUAAAUGCUAAAAUCAAAAUACACACUAAAUAGAUUCAUUUCACUAAGCACUGAUCACACAAAUAUAUUAAGAAGGGUUUUCACAGUAGUUGAUGUGCAAAAAUUCCUGAGGCUUUCAUUUGAUCACAAAUUCAAUACCAUCCAACAAUGUGAUGCACUUGCUAAAAAAAUUCAUGCAAUCUGUUGUAGUUCGGAAGAGAAAUGUUACAAUGAGAAAUUACAUUUAAUCUCAAAGAGGAACUUAAACUGUUGUAUACUCAAUAAAGUAAAUCAAGGUAUCAUAAUGUGUGUUGACUCCAAGAAUAGGGGCUAAAUAGAAUGGAUGUUUUGAAAAAAAAAAAAACACAUAGAAAUAAUUUUUAUGUGGGAUGAGUGGUCUGUUUCUGCAUAAAGAAAUCUACAGAAGAGUAGGAAAAACUAGAAAUGUUUGAAUUACUUUUUUUUUUUAGUAGUGGGAUAGUGCAUUGGUUAUGGUUAGUAUCCCUUCCCAUGAAACAUCUAAGAAAACAUAUGUGAGAUACUCUCCAUUAUUUGAUUCAGCAGAGCAAUGUUUUUAUUUAUUGAAAUACUUACUUUCCUGGUUUCUAAAUUUCUUCCAAAUAUAAGUUCCUUUCAUUUUUAAGAGAAAAGAAUCACCUUUGAAUUAAAUUAGUCUAGAAUUGUGAAUGGAAAACCAUUCUAGCACAUAAAAUCACUAAAUUUUUUUAAGAGGAUGGACUCAUGCAAAAGGAAAAUUGUCUUUUUGUUUUUAGGUUUAUUUAUUUUUUUCUUUUUUUAACCAAUGAACAAAAGGGUGCCUGUUGACCAUGUCAGGAUUCAUUAAGGCUGAGACCAUUUUCAAGGUACAGCACUGAAAUACUUAAGAUGUUGCUUGUCCUCUGAGACCUGAGUUUUUUCUGUGCUACCUCUAAUAUUGUGUAAAAUAAAGAGGUUUUACUAAUUUUUGUGGCAGAGACUGCACACUCUGAGCAUCUACAGAGACCACAAGAUGCUCUUCUCUUCCUCAUGGUACCCAGCUGGUUCAUGUUGCUAAUCACUCCAGAAGUUAGGUGUAGCCAAGUGACUGACUGUAAUGUGAGCACAUUUGAUACGAUGCACCUAGGCUGAACCUAGAUGACCUUCCAUAUUCUUUCCUAUGGCACAAACUUGAUGGUUAUGGCCACAUUAUUUUGGCAUCGUAUGUUACAGAUAUUUUCUUCCAUGGGAUGGAAGAUAUCUAGGUAUCUGGGUUAACAGUUGGAAGGGAGUGGCUGCUGAUCAAUAAAUGGCCAAUUCAGAAUUGUCAGGAAUGAAAACAAUUUUCUAUUAUCUAUAUGAGACAUUAUAAAAUUUUGACUUUAUUAUUGUAUCCUAUGUUGUCUUAACUUAUACAGGUAUGUGUAGUAUCUUUUGUAUUCCUAAAACUUUGGUAACUUUAAUUUGAUGAUAGAUUCCUAAAUACUUAUUCAUUUGAGAUUUAUGUACCCAUGCAAAUUCAAUCCAAGCAAAAACGUUAUUAGUCAUGUUCAUUAUUCUCUAACAGUACAGGAUCUGGAACAGAAUUAAUGUAAGAAAUAUUUUCCUAAUUGACUAGUAUCUGAUCAUAAUUAUGACAUAUAUUAUCUAACGAAAUGGUCUUUUAACAUUUAUUGCCUGCACACUAUGAGCCAACCAAGGUUAGAUAGAACUAUAACUAUGAAAAAAUAAAUAA